Molecule: unclassified non-coding RNA, 392 nt
Filed under: soil metagenome
Description: partial contains 5.8S ribosomal RNA, internal transcribed spacer 2, and large subunit ribosomal RNA
Rfam family: 5.8S ribosomal RNA (bases 1-122)
Source: RNAcentral
GAUGAAGAACGUAGCGAAAUGCGAUACUUGGUGUGAAUUGCAGAAUCCCGUGAACCAUCGAGUCUUUGAACGCAAGUUGCGCCCGAAGCCAUCAGGUUGAGGGCACGUCUGCCUGGGCGUCACAUAUCGUUGCUCGAUGCCUAUCGCAUUGCGAUAGGACUUAGGGCGAAUGAUGGCUUCCCGUGAGCGUUGUUGCCUCGCGGUUGGUUGAAAAUCGAGUCCUUGGUAGGGUGUGCCAUGAUAGAUGGUGGUCGAGUUAGCACGAGACUGAUCAUGUGCAUGCUCCCCAAAAUAUGGCCUCUGUGACCCACACGCGUCUUUUGACGCUCAUGAUGAGACCUCAGGUCAGGCGGGGCUACCCGCUGAAUUUAAGCAUAUCAAUAAGCGGAGGA